RNAcentral lists this ribosomal RNA (253 nucleotides) under uncultured bacterium. RNAcentral's name for it is "partial 16S ribosomal RNA". It matches the Rfam family "Bacterial small subunit ribosomal RNA", at positions 524 to 776 of the family's 1533-position model. The record is from RNAcentral.
UACGUAGGGGGCAAGCGUUGUCCGGAUUUAUUGGGCGUAAAGAGCGUGUAGGCGGUCAGGUAGGUCCGUUGUGAAAACUCGAGGCUCAACCUCGAGACGCCGAUGGAAACCAUCUGACUAGAGUCCGGAAGAGGAGAGUGGAAUUCCUGGUGUAGCGGUGAAAUGCGCAGAUAUCAGGAAGAACACCCGUGGCUAAGGCGGCUCUCUAGUACGGUACUGACGCUGAGGCACGAAAGCGUGGGGAGCAAACAGG